GACCAACUCACCUGGUUUGCCAGGGACUGAGGGAUUUCCAGGGAGUGAGGGACCUUCAGUGCUAGAACUGGUGACGU
This 77-nucleotide microRNA precursor is filed under the name Myotis lucifugus (little brown bat). RNAcentral's name for it is "miRNA (ENSMLUG00000021634.1)". Lineage: Eukaryota; Metazoa; Chordata; Mammalia; Chiroptera; Vespertilionidae. The record is from RNAcentral.